GAUGAACGCUGGCGGCGUGCUUAACACAUUCAAGUCGAACGAGCAACGGUUGAAAGCUUGCUUUUGACCCGCGCGAGUGGCGGACGGGUGAGUAACGCGUGAGCAACCUGCCUUACUCAGGGGAAUAACACUGGGAAACCGGUGCUAAUACCGCAUGAUGCAUCGAGGUCGCAUGGCCAUGGUGCCAAAGGAGCAAUCCGGAGUAAGAUGGGCUCGCGUCUGAUUAGGUAGUUGGUGGGGUAACGGCCUACCAAGCCGACGAUCAGUAGCCGGACUGAGAGGUUGAACGGCCACGAUUGGAACUGAGAUACCGGUCCAG
Molecule: ribosomal RNA, 319 nt
Filed under: uncultured bacterium
Lineage: Bacteria
Description: bacterial SSU rRNA
Rfam family: Bacterial small subunit ribosomal RNA
Source: RNAcentral